GAUACGCCGGCGUGGAGCCGUGGAGCUUGCUUGAGCUCGAAACCCUAAGCUAGAGGAAUGGGGUAGGCAAGCCCCGAAACAACGCAAAACGAAGCGAAGGGGUGUGGCAAGGGGAAGAAGCGAAACGGGCAAGCAACGGCACGUCUCCUGUAAUCCCGAUCUCAGGGAACGGAUCAGCCAUGCAUGGCAUGAGCCGCGGAGGCAGCAAGGGGGGCGGCUCCCGCUGCCACGAGACAGUUGGGCAUGCCAAAUCGGUGAAAUCCAGGCGAAGGGAGAGGUGACGGCGGGAUGAGCCAGGCGGCGAGCGGUGGCACGAGAGAAUCAACCCCAGAUUUGGAUUUGACGAGGGAGGACGGGCCGGCGGCCGGCGGGGUGGGUGUUCUUGUAGAGAGAGAGAGUGGGAUGGUGGGG
Molecule: long non-coding RNA, 411 nt
Filed under: Panicum hallii
Lineage: Eukaryota; Viridiplantae; Streptophyta; Magnoliopsida; Poales; Poaceae
Description: long non-coding RNA (PHAL_LNC000729)
Source: RNAcentral